UGGGGAAUAUUGCACAAUGGAGGGAACUCUUAUGCAGCGACGCCGCGUGAACGAAGAAGGCUUUCGAGUCGUAAAGUUCUUGUAUAUGGGAAGAUAAUGACGGUACCAUAAGAAAAAGCCCCGGCUAACUACGUGCCAGCAGCCGCGGCAAUACGUAGGGGGCUAGCGUUGUCCGGAAUCACUGGGCGUAAAGGGUUCGCAGGCGGAAAUGCAAGUCAGGUGUAAAAGGCAGUAGCUUAACUACUGUAAGCAUUUGAAACUGCAUAUCUUGAGAAUAGUAGAGGUAAGUGGAAUUUUUGGUGUGGCGGUGAAAUGCGUAGAUAUUAAAAAGAAUACCGGUGGCGAAGGCGACUUACUGGGCUCAUUCUGACGCUGAGGAACGAAAGCGUGGGUAGCAAACAGG
Molecule: ribosomal RNA, 403 nt
Filed under: Verrucomicrobiota bacterium
Lineage: Bacteria; Pseudomonadati; Verrucomicrobiota
Description: Verrucomicrobia bacterium partial 16S ribosomal RNA
Rfam family: Bacterial small subunit ribosomal RNA
Source: RNAcentral